AACGGCCGUACCAUGCUGAAUAUACCGGUUCUCGUUAGAUCAAACAUCAUUGGGCGCGGUCAGUACUUGGGUGGGUGACCACCUGGGAACACCGUGUGCCGUU
Molecule: non-coding RNA, 103 nt
Organism: Caerostris darwini
Lineage: Eukaryota; Metazoa; Arthropoda; Arachnida; Araneae; Araneidae
Source: the annotation of a GenBank genome assembly